RNAcentral lists this ribosomal RNA (453 nucleotides) under Pseudomonas fluorescens. Its description in RNAcentral is "bacterial SSU rRNA". It matches the Rfam family "Bacterial small subunit ribosomal RNA", at positions 9 to 464 of the family's 1533-position model. Lineage: Bacteria; Pseudomonadati; Pseudomonadota; Gammaproteobacteria; Pseudomonadales; Pseudomonadaceae. The record is from RNAcentral.
GAGUUUGAUCCUGGCUCAGAUUGAACGCUGGCGGCAGGCCUAACACAUGCAAGUCGAGCGGCAGCACGGGUACUUGUACCUGGUGGCGAGCGGCGGACGGGUGAGUAAUGUCUAGGAAUCUGCCUAGUAGUGGGGGAUAACGUCCGGAAACGGGCGCUAAUACCGCAUACGUCCUACGGGAGAAAGUGGGGGAUCUUCGGACCUCACGCUAUUAGAUGAGCCUAGGUCGGAUUAGCUAGUUGGUGAGGUAAUGGCUCACCAAGGCGACGAUCCGUAACUGGUCUGAGAGGAUGAUCAGUCACACUGGAACUGAGACACGGUCCAGACUCCUACGGGAGGCAGCAGUGGGGAAUAUUGGACAAUGGGCGAAAGCCUGAUCCAGCCAUGCCGCGUGUGUGAAGAAGUCUCCGGAUUGUAAAGCACUUAAGUUGGGAGAAGGCAGUUACCUAAUAC